RNAcentral lists this ribosomal RNA (352 nucleotides) under uncultured bacterium. RNAcentral describes it as "partial 16S ribosomal RNA". It matches the Rfam family "Bacterial small subunit ribosomal RNA", at positions 523 to 877 of the family's 1533-position model. The record is from RNAcentral.
AUACGGAAGGUCCGGGCGUUAUCCGGAUUUAUUGGGUUUAAAGGGAGCGCAGGCGGAGAUGCAAGCGUGACGUCAAAUUUCGGGGCUCAACCCCGUCUCGCGUCGCGAACUGCGUCCCUUGGUUGCGGGAAGGGGAGGCGGAACUCGUGGUGUAGCGGUGAAACGCAUAGAUAUCACGAAGAACUCCGAUCGCGAAGGCAGCCUUCCGGCCCGUCAACGACGCUCAUGCUCGAAGGUGCGGGUAUCAAACAGGAUUAGAUACCCUGGUAGUCCGCACAGUAAACGAUGGACACCCGCGGUUUGGCCUGUAUGGCUGAGCCGCCAAGCGAAAGCGUUAAGUGUCCCACCUGGG